GGGGAGGGGGAAAAACAGAGACAAAAAGAAAGAGAGAUAGACGGAACAGACCCCUCUUCGACAGAGAACCCUAGCGCCGCCCCUAUCUCACUCUCAUUCUUUCACUCCCACACCCUCCUCUCAUCACACACGCGAAAAGGCACUCAAUAUAGGCUAGAAACAAAACUUUCAAAAGCUCAGAAUUCUUAAAGUGCUAUUUGAAGUUUCGAAAAAAAGGAAAUUAGCUAAAAAAUACAUAGAAAAGCUUCAACAAAGGAUUGAGAUCGGAAAUUAAAAAAAAACAGUAAUGAAAGGGAAUUUCAAAAUAAUUCUAUCUCCUACUGUUCACUCUGCAUCUCCUGGGCUAUCAACACCUCGAGAGUUGUUGUGGGUUUUUUGAGCUUUUCCGAUCUUAGUCGUCGGUUCGAGUUCUUGUCGCAGUUCGACUUGCCGUUUCUGAAAUUUUAAAGCUCCGGUGGAACUUCUAAUAUUAUUGAAGAGAAUUGUUCAAUAAAAGCAUGCAGGUUCUUGUAAGUGACCCUCCUUAGCCUCGUCACUACUUCGUCGAGGUUAGGCUCGGCACUUACAGAGUACAUGGGGUCAGUUGUACUCAUACUACACUCUGCACUUCUUGUGCAGAUUUUAGAGUCGGUCACAUCGGUGGUCAGCAGAUUGCUUGGAUAUGGUGCUUGACGGAGACUUGAGAUACAACUGUACGGUGUUCGCAAGCCUGAAGUCCCCUUCUACAUUAUUCUAGCAAUUUAUUUCAUUGCAGAUAGUUAUGCUUUUAUUUAGACUGUUAUUUGUAAUACUCUAGUCACUCGUGCACUUGUGACACCAGUUUUGAUAUUGUAUCUCGAUAUCGCUGUUAUUUUAGCUUA
Nicotiana tabacum (common tobacco) is the source of this 860-nucleotide long non-coding RNA. RefSeq lists it as uncharacterized. NCBI's taxonomy places the organism in Eukaryota, Viridiplantae, Streptophyta, Magnoliopsida, Solanales, Solanaceae. The record is from RefSeq and is a predicted model, not a curated record.